RNAcentral lists this ribosomal RNA (226 nucleotides) under uncultured bacterium. Its description in RNAcentral is "partial 16S ribosomal RNA". It matches the Rfam family "Bacterial small subunit ribosomal RNA", at positions 538 to 762 of the family's 1533-position model. The record is from RNAcentral.
GCGUUGUCCGAAGUUACUGGGCGUAAAGAGCGCGUAGGCGGAUCUUUAAGUGAGGGGUGAAAGGUUCAGGGCUUAACCCGGACACUGCCUUUCAUACUGGAGACCUUGAGUGCGGGAGAGGCGAGUGGAAUUCUUGGUGUAGCGGUGAAAUGCGUAGAUAUCAAGAGGAACACCCAUGGCGAAGGCAGCUCGCUGGCCUGCAACUGACGCUGAGGCGCGAAAGCGU